GGUCAAUGAUGUUUUGGCAUGUAUUAGCUGAUUCCAACGUUGAUGGAAAUUAUGAAAUUACACUGAGACCUU
This is a small nucleolar RNA of Talpa occidentalis (Iberian mole), 72 nucleotides long. RefSeq annotates it as small nucleolar RNA SNORD45. The transcript has a single exon. Lineage: Eukaryota; Metazoa; Chordata; Mammalia; Eulipotyphla; Talpidae. The record is from RefSeq and is a predicted model, not a curated record.